GACGGACCGGACGAACGUUAUUCGGAAUUACUGGGCUUAAAGAGUGCGUAGGCGGCCUGGCAGGUUGGGUGUGAAAUCCCUCGGCUCAACCGAGGAACUGCGCUCAAAACCGCCAGGCUUGAGGAAGACAGGGGUGAGCGGAACUGAUGGUGGAGCGGUGAAAUGCGUUGAUAUCAUCAGGAACACCGGUGGCGAAGGCGGCUCACUGGGUCUUUUCUGACGCUGAGGCACGAAAGCUAGGGGAGCGAACGGG
Molecule: ribosomal RNA, 253 nt
Filed under: uncultured bacterium
Lineage: Bacteria
Description: partial 16S ribosomal RNA
Rfam family: Bacterial small subunit ribosomal RNA
Source: RNAcentral